GUGCCAGCAGCCGCGGUAAGACAGAGGGUGCAAACGUUGCUCGGAUUUACUGGGCGUAAAGCGCGUGUAGGCGGGCGACUAAGUCGGAUGUGAAAUCCCUGGGCUCAACCUAGGAACUGCAUUCGAAACUGGUCACCUAGAGUGAUGGAGAGGAAAGCGGAAUUCCCGGUGUAGAGGUGAAAUUCGUAGAUAUCGGGAGGAACACCAGUGGCGAAGGCGGCUUUCUGGACAUUUACUGACGCUGAGACGCGAAAGCGUGGGGAGCAAACAGGAUUAGAUACCCUGGUAGUCC
Molecule: ribosomal RNA, 292 nt
Filed under: uncultured bacterium
Lineage: Bacteria
Description: partial 16S ribosomal RNA
Rfam family: Bacterial small subunit ribosomal RNA
Source: RNAcentral